AAAAAGAUCCCCGUCCUACAGCUGUGGGCGGUGGGGUGAACCCUGUGUGCCACGGGGCGGUUUGGGGUGAGGGAUGUCCUCCCUAUGGGACUCUGCUCCCCACCAGGAGGGGCCACCGGUCCUUCCCACUCGGAGGCGGGGAACAAACCCGGCCCUGACCCCACUUCUCCCUUUGCUUUGCAGAAUGCAGUGAGCUGCUGUCCUGUGAGCUGUGCACGGCUGCUCCUCCAGCACCCAACGGCACCGGCUGCCUCUGGGGGGGCUGUGGGGCACCGGAGACGUGGAGCUGCAUGCACAGCGGGGCGGCCGCGCGGGACACAUGUGUGCUCUACAACAGCAGUGCCCUGUGCCCAGCAGCACUGAAAUCCCCCACCAAAGAGCCGCCGCGGUCCCCUAGCAAGGAGCCGGUAACGCAUUCCCCACGUGAGUGGGGCUGGGGUGGGAUGGGAUGGGAUGGGAUGGGAUGGGAUGGGAUGGGAUAGGUUGGAA
Molecule: non-coding RNA, 489 nt
Organism: Meleagris gallopavo (turkey)
Lineage: Eukaryota; Metazoa; Chordata; Aves; Galliformes; Phasianidae
Source: RefSeq, a predicted model, not a curated record